CGAGUACUCACUCUGUUGUCACUGGCUAGAGAGAGAGAGAGAGAAAAGGAGGGAGGGAGAAAGAGUGGAGUUUUGUCCCAUAUGUGGAAAAAAAGCACAGCAUUGUACACAGGAGUCUGCUCUGCUCCAGGGACUAUUGUAGCGCUCUCAGAUCUGAUGGAGGACGUGCAGGCAUGAAUAGGGCUGUUCUGUCGUCAGUGCGAGUUCACGCUAGUGAUGGACUACAGCUGGACGGACGCUAACCUCAGCUGCCUUUCACAAACCAGCAUUCCGUCUUACUGAGACCAGCUCCACAGAAUGCUGAGUCCUAUUGUCCCCUAUAGAUUCAUUUGAGUCCAGGGCUCUGGCUCUCCAAAACAGCAUUGUGUGCCGGCCAGCAUGGGGCAGCCUCCGUUGCUUCGGCCUCAAGGGCUCUUUUUUUCCCAGCUCUAUAACUUUC
Molecule: long non-coding RNA, 439 nt
Organism: Gasterosteus aculeatus aculeatus (three-spined stickleback)
Lineage: Eukaryota; Metazoa; Chordata; Actinopteri; Perciformes; Gasterosteidae
Source: Ensembl